GAAUCUGUCAGGCACCCUGCUGGGGCUGAGGACAGAAUCUCCACUCUCCUGGGGCUGAUCUGUCAGGGGAGGUGGACAACUUCUGAUGGACCACGAAGAUCAAAGAGGGUGACGCGAACAACCGAAGGAGUGGAGGUGAGGGAAGCCGCUCUGAGAGGUGAGCCCAGGCCAUGAGGAGGACAGAAGAGGCAUGGAAAGCUCUCCAGGCACAGCAGACUCCCGUCCACAUGUCCCCAGGUUGCCCUGGGGUAGACCGGAGCAGGCUGGGACAGAGAUCAGUGGCCCGCAAAGGGGAAAAGAACACGCUGCUCACCACUGCCCAGACCCUCCACAGCCCACAGGAGCCUUCCUCAGAGGCCUUCUCUGCUCAGCCAAGAUCCAAAAGCAGCCACCAUUGCUCCCUUCGCGUCCCCCUGGCCCUGAUUUCUUAUUUUUCAAAAUCUUCAUCGCCUGCCGACAUGAUGCAAUAUAAUUACUUCCUUACUGUUUGGCUCCCCGGGGUCUGUAAGCUCCAUGAGAGCAGGAAUUUUGUCCCUUCUACUCUGCCAUGUCCCCAUAGCAUCCUGCCUGCCACAUCGUAGGUGCUCAAAAAGCAAAAAAGGUCAUUGAAUGAACGCAGGUGUCCGGAGAGGAAUCGUAACAACAUGCACCUGCCAGGAACGCCGCAAGGACGGAGAUCAAGCCCGCAAGGAGCCGGAACCGCGCCUGGCACCCGGCAGGCACGGAAUAAAUAACCACCAUUAUUCUCACCAUCGUCGUGGCUGUUGGGCGGGUUUUUGAGACAGAGCUUGACUACCACCUCUGUCUGGUCCCAGCCGGGGUGGGGGGCCCUGGACAAGUCACUGGACGCCCAUCCUUCAAGGUCCCUGUCUGUUCCACCGGCCGGAAGCGUCCGCUCGCAGCAGGCUGAGGUUCCGGGUGCGGCGUGAGGGCGGACCCCACGCGAGCUCUCUAUUAUACGACUGCAGCGGCGGGGUCUCACACGUCCCCGCCUCCUGUCCCGGAAGCCGAGGCCCAAUGAGGGGAAGCUGGCAGCCACGCGCCUUUGCAGGACGCUGUGGCCAAGCCGGGCCGCACCUAGCUGAGCCGAGGGCCUGAGACGGCCGCACACGAGCCCGGGAGGCCACUUCCGCUUCCAGUCCUCCUCCUCGCUGGGCACCAGCACAGGGCCGCCCCGGGAGGAGGCAGAGGCAGGACCACUUCACUAACUGAGGCCUGAGGCCGCGGUGUGUCCAUUUCCCACACAGGGAAACUGAGUGCCAGUGAGGGCCUGGCCGGCUGGGGGCCGCGGGUCAAUCACGGGCCGGGCCGGGCCGCGAAGAGGGCCUGGGGACUCUUCCUUCUUCUUUCUCGGUCAUCAUGAGGGAUCCCCGCGCCCAUUUCCCACAGGAGGAAACUGAGGCCCGGCGUCGUGACUGACGUCUGGCCGGGGACAGAGGUCCAAGCCUUCGAGGCCGUGCUGACUGGUGUUUGAACCUCAGCAACCCAGGACACAGGUCACAGGUCAUUCUCAGCACAAAAUGGCGCCUCGUAGAAAAAUUUAGAUCGAUCCCCAGCGCCCAACCCCACCAC
Molecule: long non-coding RNA, 1572 nt
Organism: Equus asinus (donkey)
Lineage: Eukaryota; Metazoa; Chordata; Mammalia; Perissodactyla; Equidae
Source: Ensembl